CGCUCGGCGCCUCCCCAGCAGGCGCUUCGGCUUCCGCGGGAGCCGGAAGGGGGCGCGGCGCGCGCCUGGCCGCCGCCGGCCGCUGCUCGCUGAGGCGGCCGUUGGAGGGGCUGGAGCGCGUUCUGCGCCGUCCCGCCCCGCCCCGCCGCGCGGGGCGCGGCCAUUGGCUUCCAGGGGGCAGGGGCUGGCGCGGCGCGAUUACUUCCUCCUCAGCAUCAGAGGUGAGCUCUGGACUGUUGCAAUUUAUAGGCAUCAAUGCUUCAAGAUACAGAUAUGAGAACUCUCUGGAGUUCUAGAUCCAACUCCCUGGAGGACUCUCUGGAGUUCUAUAUUCCAACUUUCUAAGUGUGGACAACAUCUGGACAGAUAAGAACAGAUCCUCGAUCCUACGUUCUUCUGCUAGUUAAAACAGUCUAUUCCUGAGUGUGAUCUUUCUGGAACUCCCUCCCAGAAUCUCUAGCCCUAAUGAGACUGGCCUGGAUGAUCCAGUAAUAGGUUUGCAUUAUGACUAACUGUAUUUCUUCGUGGAGGGAGUCAGCUGUGAGGAAAUUUAAGAAAUCUAAGUGAAACAUCUGAAGAAGGAAUAAAAUCAAAUGCAAACACCCUUGUCUACCUUGAAGUGAUUUAUACAUAUAACUCCAGACCAAUCUCCAUACCUGGGGCAAAAUUAGCAAUUUUCUUUGGCCGAUUUCGAGCGGAUGGAGAAAUCAACAUCUCUGCUUGCCAGUGAAAACAGAACCUACUGAGUUUGCCUGCAGACCCCUGUCCUGCGCAGGCAGGCCCUGCUCCCCGUCGGAGGGUGCUCUGCGUGAGGAGGCAAUGAAGGUUAUGGCCAUGCUGCAUGGAACUAAAUAAAUAAAGAAGCUUGUAAUUUAUGUUACCAUCAAAUGCUUGAAUAUUUGGUCUUGCUGCAGGAAAAAGAACUGACUCCCACGUAUCCGAGGAGUUUUUCAGAAGAUAUCAAGAAUGAAUAUUGAAUACAUAAUUAGGUUUUCUUGAAGAUAUGUUCGCAGAUUAGAAAUAGGUCAUGCAAUAAUUUAUAUUAGUCCACAUUACCAAUAAUGUGAUAGAUAAGUUCUAUCUCUACUUAUAUUUCUGUAUCCCUACUUGAUGUUUUUCUAGAAUAAAUGUGUUUAGAAAAUGGAAGGGUGUAGUUGCUCUCCACAUGCAGCAUGCCGCCUUUUCUUUUCUUUCUCUUCAUUUUAUUCUGCUUCCAUAUUUCCCUUCCCCCUUUAAUUUAAUGGUAGGCAUACACAGAUGCCAGGCAGACAAAUGUACUGAAGCCCUGUUAGCAUUUAAUCUCUUUUCAGAUAAAUGCAAAUAUUGCUGUCGAUGGUAUUGGAACCUUGUCCAGCAGUCAUUUGAGGAACUUGCUCAUCCAUUUUUCAGAGUGUCCAUUACUAUCAGUCACUGAAAAUUGUGAUCCAGAAUAUUCGUUCUUGCCGAAAACAAUAGAAUUAAGCCACAGGGCUUCAGAAAAUUGCUUUCAUAUUCAAGCAGCACUACACAUAUACAGACACCUUGUUGAUGAUUUUCCUGCCCUGAAGAAAAUGUAUUGCUGCUGCCACAAACCUGUCUUUUGGCACUUUGUCACUUACAAGUGAUGAUAAAAUUGCAACAAAGAGACUUCUUUUUAAUCUCAUAGGUCAUCGUUUGUACUCUGGACAGUCCUCCCUUUUGUCCUCUCGUUUAGAUUAGAUAAGGUGGAAAAAUCCUUUUAGCUGCCUCUAACUUCUGUAAGCAACACAAAUGCCAAAAAGUCAGCCUCAACGCACCAUCAAAUUUUUAACCUGACAACUUUGUUCAUUUAGAUUGGAAGUUCUGUAUGAAUUUUAAAUAUAUAUAUUUUUAGGCAAGUGAAUUACAGGGAGUCUUUUUGAUCCAUAGAUUCGCAUCAUAUUGUAAACCUUAAGAGAGAAGUUUAAUCCCUUUAAUUUUGUGAGAACCCCAGAAUCAUACGAUAGUUGUAUUACUGAAAUUCCAACCAUUAUUAUAUCCAUUUGUUACUACUUCACACUCACAUCAUUUUUAAAAUUCAGUUAUCCUGUCUGGGAAUUCAAAGUUGCAGAAAACUUGUGAUAGAUAGAAAGACUGAGAAAUUCUGAAUAAAUCCCCUUAUCUGUUGAAUAUUUUAAAGAGGAGCUUUCACAUUAGAACACAUUUGGAAGAAAAAAGAACAUUUGUACAAACAGCAAUUUAUCUGGCUACAGUCUUUUUGCUAUUUUUUCUACAUUUGCUGAGAGCCUUUUCUCUUCUUAGUCAUCUUCUUCAGCUUUAUACCUCAAUGAAAUCAUAAACUUGCUCAUGACAUAAAAAAUCUGCUGCUGUGGAAAUUUGAUGCAGCAAAUACAGUAUUUUGUCUCCAAUCUGCAGUGUCUUUCAAUCUGAAUUUCUUCCAAUUUGAAGUACGGAAAGAACAAAGAAGAACAGAGGUUUAAAAUCCCUGAAAAGGGCAGGGGGAGAAGAAGGUACUUUUGCAGGUCGCUUUCCAUGCAUGUCAAGCAUGUCAGGCUUGUCUGCUUCUGUCCUGUGCAUCUGAGGACAGGUCUCCACAAACAUGAGAGGACUUGUAGAGGUAGGGAUCAGGUGGAACCAAAACUGGUGUCCUGCAUUUUGUACUGGGGUUGAACAUACUAUUUCAAACAAUUAAGGGGCACUGUCAAUAUCUAGGACAGAUUCUCUACCAUUUUUCUCUUAUUUGUGCCCCUGAGUAGUGCAGAGCAGAGACUAUGGGGGCAUCACACAGUCACUAGCACAUGGGAGGAGUCAGCUCUUGUGGUCUCUUUUUCACACAAGGGCCGUGAAAAACACAUCAGGGUGAAGAGAGAAAAACAUGCUGACCCGUUUUCCUCUGUUGCUUGAGAAAACUGCUGCCAUCUGAUAUAAAUAAGCAAUACCUCCAUGAAAAGCCAACAUUCAUCAAACUGGGGUGUGGCUACAUAUAGGCCUACUUCGAAAUUCAGAGUUGGCUGAAGUGAAUACAAGCCUGGAGAUACCUAGGUGAUUCACAGUUCCUCCUGGGAGAAACCCAAGCAUUGGGCAUACAGAAAUGGACACUUAGGUGCCUAAAUAACCAUUAAUGGCCAAGCCCUCUGCCGGUGCCCAGGGGAAGCAAGCCUCAUUACUCCAAAUGAAGGGAUCUUUGCGUUCAAACCAAUCACUGCUGAAGAUAACAGACAGUUCACUCAUUUACCUGGAUUUGGCCCCUACGAAUAGAAACAUCCUGGACCAGUCUCCUGUUGGUUGCACUGCUGUAAAAGAGUCGCACCUUCUCUAAUCCCCGAAAAUCACUGCAGAUUCAGAUGAACUGGCAAAAGCAGAAUAAGCUCCAGUGAGUGUUCUGGCUUCUCUACGGCACUUCUCACAAUGUGACUGAACAUGAAGAUAAUGUACCAGUAUUGUCUAGUUUAAUUUUACUGAUCGAAAACCUUCACAAUAAAUAAAGAUGCAAUCCUAAA
Dromaius novaehollandiae (emu) is the source of this 3458-nucleotide long non-coding RNA. RefSeq lists it as uncharacterized. The transcript is spliced from 5 exons. The record is from RefSeq and is a predicted model, not a curated record. Lineage: Eukaryota; Metazoa; Chordata; Aves; Casuariiformes; Dromaiidae.